AUCCAGAACACCAGAACGGAUCCUUCCCCUCACUGUGAUGCAUCCAGAACAACCAGAACGGAUCCUUCCCCUCACUCUGAUACAUCCAGAACACCCAGAAUGGAUCCUUCCCCUCACUGUGAUGCAUCCAGAACACCCAGAACUUUAUGUCCAAUCUUCAAAAACAAAGAAGACAACAGCUGCCAUUGUUUGUUUUAGCAUGUUGUAGAACAAGCACUGUUCUGAAUGAUAUCAAUUAUAUUUUCUUGUGAUAGAUUCACGUUAAUACAGAAUAAUACAGGUAGCCUACUGGCAAAUGAAUACAGAAUAAUACAGGUAGCCUACUGGCAAAUGAAUACAGAAUAAUACAGGUAGCCUACUGGUAAAUGAAUACAGAAUAAUACAGGUAGCCUACUGGUAAAUGAAUACAGAAUAAUACAGGUAGCCUACUGGUAAAUGAAUACAGAAUAAUACAGGUAGCCUACUGGUAAAUGAAUACAGAAUAAUACAGGUAGCCUACUGGUAAAUUAAUACUGGUAGCCUACUGGUAAAUGAAUACAGAAUAAUACAGGUAGCCUACUGGUAAAUUAAUACAGAAUAAUACAGGUAGCCUACUGGUAAAUUAAAGUGUAUCUAUUUGAAAAAGCAGGAGAAGGCUCAAUGUUCAAGACUGUGUUGUGAAUGAUGCUUAUAUUUUUCUCGUUGUGUUUUGUUGGCCUGGGCAUAGCUGGCUAUUGGGCAAUUUGCAUGUAAGUGUAGUACUGUAUUGUACAUUAGGUGAGUUGCUGUUUUUAAUAUUAUAUGAUGAUGUUUAACAAUGAUAAUUAAAUCCAGAAUAGUGGCACUUGGAGUUGUGUACUAUUUUCCAGAUACAUUUAACAUUAGUGUGUACAAUAUUGCCUGUGUGUAUGGUCUGUUUGCUGGGUUAGAGAGGGAAGUAUACUACAGUAAUGGUGUGUAUGGUCUGUUUGCUGGGUUAGAGAGGGAAGUAUACUACAGUAAUGGUUUGUAUGGUCUGUUUGCUGGGUUAGAGAGGGAAGUAUACUACAGUAAUGGUUUGUAUGGUCUGUUUGCUGGGUUAGAGAGGGAAGUAUACUACAGUAAUGGUUUGUAUGGUCUGUUUGCUGGGUUAGAGAGGGAAGUAUACUACAGUAAUGGUUUGUAUGGUCUGUUUGCUGGGUUAGAGAGGGAAGUAUACUACAGUAAUGGUUUGUAUGGUCUGUUUGCUGGGAGAGAGAGGGAAGUAUACUACAGUAAUGGUUUGUAUGGUCUGUUUGCUGGGAGAGAGAGGGAAGUAUACUACAGUACUCAUAAAAUUUGAUUUGAUUUGAUUGUGGUAAACAAACUGGUUAUCUAAAACUAGAACUCCUUGAAAAUAUUCCAGCUGUAUUCAGAUCCAUCAAUGGACAGAUGAGAGAGUCGUUGUGUAAAUGUUGUGUAGGGGAGUGGCUCGUGGGGCUUUGGUCAAAAGUAGUGCACUAUAUAGGGAAUAGGGUUCCAUAGGACUCUGGUCUAAAGUAGUGCACUAUAUAGGGAAUAGGGUUCCAUAGGACUCUGGUCUAAAGUAGUGCACUAUAUAGGGAAUAGGGUUCCAUUUGGAACGUAGGUGUAAUGAAGUGAAAGCAGCGUGUGCUCCAGUUGAGAGUUUAGGUCACCAUAGAAACGCAUUCAUUCAUUCAGGAGUGGUUGGGUGGGUGGGAUAUCUCAAUCAGCGUCCACCUGACAGAACAAACAUGGUUUAGUCAUCAACAUCUGGUGUGUUGCCCUACAUCGCCUGGAUACAGAAAGGAAACAACAAACUGCUACGGUACAAAACAGAUACAUUCACUUUAUUUUCUGUUUCGUGACAGGAUCUCUGAGUCUGAUAUGACCUCGAUACAUCUUGGGGGAUUUCCUGUAAGCAGAUGAUAAAACCAUGCGCUGAUCUAAUUGGAUAAAAAUAAUCAAAUUAAAAAAACACUUGACAGGACGUUCAUUGGAUGUUGGAGAAAAACUCUAUAUUGUGUCAGAUGCUGUCUUUAUGUUACUGACAAAACGCUCAGAAUGCAUAUAGAAUCUCAAGGCCAUCAGAAUGUUAUACAGCCAUCACUAACUAAGAGAGGCAGCUGCCUACAUACAGACUAAUCGGCCACUUUAAAAAAUGGAUCACUAGUCACUUUAAUAAUGCCACUUUAAUAGUGUUUACAUAUCUUGCAUUACUCAUCUCAUAUGUAUAUAUUGUAUUUUAUACCGCCUAUUGCAUCUUGCCUGUGCUGCUCUGUCAUUGCUCAUCCAUAUACAGUAUUUAUAUGUAUAUAUUCUUAUUCCAUUCCUUUACUUAGAUUUGUGUGUAUUAGGUAGUUGUUGUGGAAUUGUUAGAUUCCCUGUUAGAUAUUACUGCACUGUCGGAACUAGAAGCACAAUCAUUUCAUUACACUCGCAAUAUCUGCUAACCAUGUGUAUGUGACCAAUACAUUUUGAUUUGAUUUGAAUGGUUUAGUUUAGUUGAUGAGGAGCAACAUUAGCCGCUGUACAUGCAGAAGCCCUUCCUGUGGUCCACAAAUAGAACUGAACAGAAAUACAAAAAAAAAGUUCACACUUUUUUAGCUGAGCUCUGAAACUAAAAUGUGUGAUAAAUAUCAACAUAGUUAGAAGAGGACCAGCUACCCCCCUAGAGGAGGACCAGCUACCCCCUAGAGGAGGACCAGCUACCCUCUAGAGGAGGACCAGCUACCCCCUAGAGGAGGACCAGCUACCCCCUAGAGGAGGACCAGCUACCUCCCUAGAGGAGGACCAGCUACCCCCUAGAGGAGGACCAGCUACCUCACCAGAGGAGGACCAGCUACCCCCUAGAGGAGAACCAGCUACCUCCCUUAGAGGAGAACCAGCUACCUCCCUAGAGGAGGACCAGCUACCCCCUAGAGGAGAACCAGCUACCUC
Oncorhynchus tshawytscha (Chinook salmon) is the source of this 2898-nucleotide long non-coding RNA. The record is from Ensembl. NCBI's taxonomy places the organism in Eukaryota, Metazoa, Chordata, Actinopteri, Salmoniformes, Salmonidae.